CAUGCAAGUCGAACGAUGGAUCCACUUCAGUGGGGAUUAGUGGCGAACGGGUGAGUAACACGUGGGCAAUCUGCCCUUCACUCUGGGACAAGCCCUGGAAACGGGGUCUAAUACCGGAUAUCGCUCCUGCAGGCAUCUGUAGGGGUUGAAAGCUCCCGCCGUGACAGAUGAACCCGCCGCCUAUCCACUUGGUGGUGAAGUAAUGGCUCACCCAGGCCACCACCGGUAACCCGCCUGAAAAGGCCAACGGCCACACUGGGACUGAAACCCCGCCCAAACUCCUACCGGAAGCAACCAUGGGGAAUAUUGCACAAUGGGCCAAAGCCUGAUGCAACCACCCCCCCUGAAGGAAGAACGCCUUCCGGUUGGAAACCUCCUUUCACAAGGAAAAAACCAAAGUGACCGUACCUGCCACCCCCGCUAACUACCUGCCCACCACCCCCGUAAUUCCUAAGGCCCCAACCUUUUCCCGAAUUAUUGGGCCUAAAGAACUCGUAAGCCGCUUGGCCCCUCCGGUGUUAAAACCCCGGGCUUUACCCCCGGUCCGCCUUCCAUUCCGGCCAGCUUAAAUUUUGUAAGGGAAAUCCGAAUUCCUGGAAUUACGGGCAAAUGCGCCGAAACCAAGAAGGAGAACUGUCGCCAAAGCCGAUUUCUGGCCCUUUACUGACGCUAAAAAGCGAAAUCUUGUCCAGCUAACACCAUAAGAUACCCUGUCACACCACCCCGUAAAGCGCCGGAAACUAGGUUGUCGCCAACGUUUCUUCCUCGUCAUUUCCGCACCUUACGCCUUAAUUCCACGACUUGGGAAUUUCCGCACCAAGGCUAAAACU
Molecule: ribosomal RNA, 830 nt
Filed under: Streptomyces sp.
Lineage: Bacteria; Bacillati; Actinomycetota; Actinomycetes; Kitasatosporales; Streptomycetaceae
Description: bacterial SSU rRNA
Rfam family: Bacterial small subunit ribosomal RNA
Source: RNAcentral